RNA transcript from Cornus florida, 1010 nucleotides. It is a transcript of the gene named serine/threonine-protein phosphatase PP2A-1 catalytic subunit-like, with no coding region annotated. The record is from RefSeq and is a predicted model, not a curated record. The transcript is spliced from 7 exons. NCBI's taxonomy places the organism in Eukaryota, Viridiplantae, Streptophyta, Magnoliopsida, Cornales, Cornaceae.
ACCUAACCAGUACAACAUUCUCUUUUUCUGUUUUUUUUUAAUUGGUAUUCACACAGCUCAUAUCCUCCUUUGAGAAGUAGAAACCAUUUAGCACGGACAUGUUUAUAUACCAGUUGUCAUCUUUGCAGAAGAGCCCUUUUGAUUACCACUUUCUUUUAUAAACGAUGGUGACAAAACAUUGCAUCAACAAAUACGACCUCUAAUCUAAGUAUUUCAUGUUAGCCCAUUGCAACCUGUCCGAAGAAUAAAAAUAGCCAACCAGCUUCAGCAGCAAUGGAUAUACAUAUUACGCAGCUGGCUGAUGAGUGAUGACUUCACAAAACUAAAACAUGAAAGCGUUAUUUAUUAAUGUGACUUUCAUGGUCAAUAUUUUGAUCUUCUAAGGCUUUUCAAGUGUGUGGAUUUCCUCCUCAAGCUAAUUAUUUUUGGGGGAUUACGUGGAUUGGGUCAACCAGAGUCUAGAGACAAUCCAAGUAACAAUGUUCAAGGUUGGGGGACGAAUACUGUUUGCGGAGUUUCAUAUACAUUUGGUCCUGACAAGGUGACAGAGUUCGUACAAAAGCACGGCCUGGUUUUUAUUGUCCGUGCUCACCAGGUUGUAAAUGGAUACAAGAAAAGGGAGUCUGGAAACCUUCCUGCAGGAGUCGAUGUUUUCGCGAGGACCACCACAACUAAACCAAGAAACUUUCCAACAGGAGUUAAGUUACUACUAGACAGUAAAAAAUGGAGCAGAAAUGAAGCCUAUCAUGCCAGUUGCAGAAGGCAGUUUGCUUGUGUAGGAUCCAAAUAGCGUUCAUCAUAAUGUAAAAGUUACAUGGGUAAUGUGAUUUUAUUUGGCAAUUGGUCAAUUACAUUUAAAAAGUUCACAUUUCUCUCUUCUCUUCUCUCAACUUAUCCAUCUCCUUGACUUUGUGCUUUAGAUAUAUCAUAUAUGUAAUUGAACUGAUUUAUUGAAUUUAUUAACAAGAUUAAAGGAUACAUAAAUGGUAGUUAACAAUCUUUUAUUAAAA